This 426-nucleotide ribosomal RNA is filed under the name uncultured bacterium. Its description in RNAcentral is "bacterial SSU rRNA". It matches the Rfam family "Bacterial small subunit ribosomal RNA", at positions 355 to 774 of the family's 1533-position model. The record is from RNAcentral.
UAGGGAAUAUUGGACAAUGGGGCAACCCUGAUCCAGCCAUGCCGCGUGAGUGAAGAAGGCCCUCGGGUUGUAAAGCUCUUUUGUCCGGAAAGAAAAGCAUUCGGUGAAUACCCGGAUGUUCUGACGGUACCGGAAGAAUAAGCACCGGCUAACUUCGUGCCAGCAGCCGCGGUAAUACGAAGGGUGCAAGCGUUACUCGGAAUUACUGGGCGUAAAGCGUGCGUAGGUGGUUGUUUAAGUCUGAUGUGAAAGCCCUGGGCUCAACCUGGGAAUGGCAUUGGAAACUGGGCAGCUAGAGUGCGGUAGAGGGUAGUGGAAUUCCCGGUGUAGCAGUGAAACGCGUAGAGAUCGGGAGGAACAUCUGUGGCGAAGGCGACUGCCUGGACCAGCACUGACACUGAGGCACGAAAGCGUGGGGAGCAAACA